Long non-coding RNA from Papaver somniferum (opium poppy), 409 nucleotides. RefSeq lists it as uncharacterized. Lineage: Eukaryota; Viridiplantae; Streptophyta; Magnoliopsida; Ranunculales; Papaveraceae. The transcript has 2 exons. The record is from RefSeq and is a predicted model, not a curated record.
UGUUACUCAUUAGUUUCUUCUUAUUAGUCUUGAUUGCCAGGCCAUCAGACUCUUCUGCAAGCAGAUUGAUGCUGGAAAAGGAUCAGGAGGUAGUAGAUACCUGCCCAAAAAUUAGGUGCCUACAAAUUGUGUGCCCAAAACCAACAAAACCAUGCCCACAAAUUAGAUGCAGUAAUGGUUCUUACACUCCGUGCUGUGACUGCCCAAGAUGUUGUGCUCCUCCUAAUUAAAUUGUGUAUUUGAUCUUGGUCGUACCAUAAACUUGUAUGUUUGGUUGGUAUAGUGUAUGAUUCUCCUUUUAAUUUGAUGAUGGUGUUAUCUAGCUAGCGUUUUGUAUUAGUGUAUUGGUGUAUUGAUCCAAUGUUGAAUGUAAUAAAAGGUAUGCUAUACUAUGAUAAGGAUUUAAGAA